This is a long non-coding RNA of Piliocolobus tephrosceles (Ugandan red Colobus), 294 nucleotides long. RefSeq lists it as uncharacterized. The transcript is spliced from 4 exons. Lineage: Eukaryota; Metazoa; Chordata; Mammalia; Primates; Cercopithecidae. The record is from RefSeq and is a predicted model, not a curated record.
AUAAAUUUGAAAUUAGCAAGGGUUCUAUUUUAGCUAAUUUUUUUGAUAAAGUUGAGAAAAUGACUCCUGAAGAAAGAGGAAAGGAACUCGAAAAUAAUAAGAGCAUUGAAUUGUUACAUCAUGAAUGUUCUGGUGGCCAAGCAUCUGUAGGAGAUGAUAUAAAUGUUAACACACAUUAUAUUAUUUUAAUGGAACAUAAUGGAGAAAUUAUCGAAUUGGAUGGAAGGAAAAAACGAACCAAUUAGUCAUGGUCAAAGGACUUCCAGUGAAUUCAUAUACGAUGUAGCAAAAAUA